Molecule: ribosomal RNA, 443 nt
Filed under: Cyanobacteriota bacterium 0615_7PII
Lineage: Bacteria; Bacillati; Cyanobacteriota
Description: bacterial SSU rRNA
Rfam family: Bacterial small subunit ribosomal RNA
Source: RNAcentral
CCUACGGGAGGCAGCAGUGGGGAAUUUUCCGCAAUGGGCGAAAGCCUGACGGAGCAAUACCGCGUGAGGGAGGAAGGCUCUUGGGUUGUAAACCUCUUUUCUCAGGGAAUAAGCAAGUGAAGGUACCUGAGGAAUCAGCAUCGGCUAACUCCGUGCCAGCAGCCGCGGUAAUACGGAGGGUGCAAGCGUUAUCCGGAAUGAUUGGGCGUAAAGCGUCCGCAGGUGGCAAUGUAAGUCUGCUGUUAAAGGGUGAGGCUCAACCUCAUAAAAGCAGUGGAAACUACAUAGCUAGAGUACGUUCGGGGCAGAGGGAAUUCCUGGUGUAGCGGUGAAAUGCGUAGAGAUCAGGAAGAACACCGGUGGCGAAAGCGCUCUGCUAGGCCGCAACUGACACUGAGGGACGAAAGCUAGGGGAGCGAAUGGGAUUAGAUACCCCUGUAGUC